This 906-nucleotide ribosomal RNA is filed under the name Diplodia seriata. RNAcentral describes it as "LSU rRNA". It matches the Rfam family "Eukaryotic large subunit ribosomal RNA", at positions 38 to 960 of the family's 3401-position model. Lineage: Eukaryota; Fungi; Ascomycota; Dothideomycetes; Botryosphaeriales; Botryosphaeriaceae. The record is from RNAcentral.
GCAUAUCAAUAAGCGGAGGAAAAGAAACCAACAGGGAUUGCCUUAGUAACGGCGAAGUGAAGCGGCAACAGCUCAAAUUUGAAAGCUGGCCCUUUCAGGGUCCGCAUUGUAAUUUGUAGAGGAUGAUUCGGCGAGGGCUCCCGCCUAAGUCCCCUGGAACGGGGCGUCAUAGAGGGUGAGAAUCCCGUAUGCGGUGGGCUGCCUUAGCCAUGUGAAUCUCCUUCGACGAGUCGAGUUGUUUGGGAAUGCAGCUCUAAAUGGGAGGUAAAUUUCUUCUAAAGCUAAAUACCGGCCAGAGACCGAUAGCGCACAAGUAGAGUGAUCGAAAGAUGAAAAGCACUUUGGAAAGAGAGUUAAAAAGUACGUGAAAUUGUUGAAAGGGAAGCGCUUGCAACCAGACUUGUCCGCAGUUGCUCAGCCGGUCUCCUGACCGGCGUACUCUUCUGCGGCCAGGCCAGCAUCAGUUCGGGCGGUCGGAUAAAGACCUCGGGAAUGUAGCUCCUCUCGGGGAGUGUUAUAGCCCGGGGUGGAAUGCGGCCAGCCUGGACUGAGGAUCUCGCUUCGGCAAGGAUGCUGGCGUAAUGGUUGUAAGCGGCCCGUCUUGAAACACGGACCAAGGAGUCUAACAUCUAUGCGAGUGUUUGGGUGUCAAACCCAUACGCGUAAUGAAAGUGAACGGAGGUGGGAACCCGCAAGGGUGCACCAUCGGCCGAUCCUGAUGUCUUCGGAUGGAUUUGAGCAAGAGCAUAGCUGUUGGGACCCGAAAGAUGGUGAACUAUGCCUGAAUAGGGUGAAGCCAGAGGAAACUCUGGUGGAGGCUCGCAGCGGUUUCUGACGUGCAAAUCGAUCGUCAAAUUUGGGUAUAGGGGCGAAAGACUAAUCGAACCAUCUAGUAGCUGGUCUGCG